Gasterosteus aculeatus aculeatus (three-spined stickleback) is the source of this 383-nucleotide long non-coding RNA. NCBI's taxonomy places the organism in Eukaryota, Metazoa, Chordata, Actinopteri, Perciformes, Gasterosteidae. The record is from Ensembl.
GGAGGAAGCGUCGUUCUGUGGAAUGAAGGGGUACUUUGGCGUGAGUGCCGAACGUCAGAAUUUCCCUGGUUCCAUGUUUGAUGUCGUUUAUGGCCAACUAAGGGAAUAAUCAGUCACUCUUAGAAGUGCUGGGACCACAGGGGAAUGGCCCCCAGGAGGUGGGUCUGUGAAGCCGUUUGGCCAACUGCUGCUUAAAGAUGGAAAUGUGUGACAUAAAAUCCAGCCAAUCGGCAUCCUCAAUGGGAUUCAGCUACGGGCCGAAGUGGUUUAGCCCGUAGCUCGCGUGUCCUCGUCAGGGGGCGAGUGCAAGCAAAAGAACAAACCCACCUCAGUAACAUCUCACCCCCAAGAGCCAUUUGAGAGCCGAACUUUGGCGAAAAAAC